GCUCCUGUAGUGUAGUUCGGUCAAGCAUUUAAGGUUCUCGUCCUUAAGACCCGGGUUCAAAUCCCGGCGGGAGCA
RNAcentral lists this transfer RNA (75 nucleotides) under Candidatus Woesearchaeota archaeon. Its description in RNAcentral is "tRNA-Glu". It matches the Rfam family "tRNA". Rfam says of the family: Transfer RNA (tRNA) molecules are approximately 80 nucleotides in length. Their secondary structure includes four short double-helical elements and three loops (D, anti-codon, and T loops). The record is from RNAcentral. Lineage: Archaea; Nanobdellati; Candidatus Woesearchaeota.